Heterocephalus glaber (naked mole-rat) is the source of this 138-nucleotide small nuclear RNA. Its record names the gene U2. It matches the Rfam family "U2 spliceosomal RNA". From Rfam's summary of the family: U2 is a small nuclear RNA (snRNA) component of the spliceosome (involved in pre-mRNA splicing). Complementary binding between U2 snRNA (in an area lying towards the 5' end but 3' to hairpin I) and the branchpoint sequence (BPS) of the intron results the bulging out of an unpaired adenosine, on the BPS, which initiates a nucleophilic attack at the intronic 5' splice site, thus starting the first of two transesterification reactions that mediate splicing. The record is from Ensembl. Lineage: Eukaryota; Metazoa; Chordata; Mammalia; Rodentia; Bathyergidae.
AUUGCUUCUCGGCCUUUUGGCUAAGAUCAAGUGUAGAAUAUAAGUUUUUGAAAUAGUUUCUUAUAAUCUUCUGGAUCUUGGCAGUGUCCACUGUGAUUUUGUCAUUUUCAUUUCUCAUUGCAUUGAUAUGAAAUUUUU